GUUUACUGAUGCAAAUCAAAAGUUCAAGUAUUUUUUUGAUGCCCUGCAGCACUUUUUGUCAGAAAAAUCUGUUAUGAACAGUUCUGAGCUCACCUUGUAUUCCAAGAUCGUACCUAUAUUGAUGAAAGAUAUGUCAGAUCAGAGCCUCAGAAUCCAAAGGAUGAGGAUCAAAUUUCUAGCAAGCUAUCCAUUUGUCCCGCCAAGCCACUAGGGUCAAAAACCCUGCCAUCAACUGAAACUUAAGUUACAGCAUUGGGUCUGUGCCAACCCUGCCUACUUUAACCAUGUUAGCCCCAUGCAGGCUAAUGAUGGAGGGGUUUGGUUGAUUCUACUUCCAUGUAUAAAAGCUGCAUCCUGCAGUCAUGUACAGUUUAGUUUACAACUGAAAGAUCAAAAAUGCAGGUAGCUGAAUUGACUAUAGCAAUACUAGCACUUGUUGUGGUAGUCACAAGUACUAUCAUAAUGAUCAUUUCGCUUAAGCUGCAAGUGCAAAGCAGCAGAGAGCAAAGUGCUCUUUUAAAGGGAAUAAUUGCCGUAAAUUACUGAGAUAUAGCAUUGCAUGAAUUAAGACUCAUGUUUGUGGUCAUACAGACAGUGGUAGGGGUCACACAGACCAUUCUGGUGACAAUUUCAAUAAAGUAUCAAAUUCAAAGCAAUAGGGAGACAAGCGCUCUUUUGAGGUGGAUAUGAUAUGUAGUUUAUAUGUUUCUUUUAUGUAGUUGUUGGAAUUUUAGCUGUAUUAGUGAUUGUCAUAAAGACAUCUUACUGGAUAUUUCAAUUACUAUCAAAUUCAAAGUAACAGAAAGACUAGCACUCUGUUUUAAAGAGGACAAUUACUCCUUAUAGAACCAGAAACGGGACAAUUACAAGUCACCAAUAACUGUAGUGAUACGUCUUCCAGUUAUUCCAACAACAGUACAGUUGAUGCCUGCUCACAUAAGUAAGACAAUAAUUUUUACUAAAUGACUGCCUCAAGUUGCCACUGUGGUAGCAACAGCAUUGCCUUACAAUCUAACGAUUGAUAAAUCACUAGUGCUGACUUUUGUGCUGUGCAGCUGUACAUGAAUACAACAAGGGGUAUCAAAAGGCCACCUCCCUUGCUCCACCUUUAGCAUCACAUUUGCAGGCUUGCAGUGGCCAUUGGAAGAGUAAAUCUUACUUAUCAAAAUAUUGAGCUAUUGGCCUUAGUCUCAUGAUGGGAGUGUCUGUGGACUUUGUUAGUGAAAUACAUCAGUUGGGAAUUAGAAUAUUUACUGGUUAUGACUUUAGAGGAAAGAAGAAUAUGUAGAACUGUUCCCAGGAAGCUUCUAAGGAUGCAUAAAACAAAAAUGGAGGUCACAGAAGACUUUUGUUGUCUCCACCAAAAAGAUAAGAAAAAAAAAGUUAAAUCCUCCAAAAGGGGCCAUAGAUUUAGUUUGAAAAAAAUGAAAAUUGCUUGUGCCAAUAACCAAAAGUCAAAUAAUGGUAUAUCAAGAUGGAUAAUUUCUGCUAUUAAAUUAGGUACUGUUAACAGCAGUCCCACCAUCAUUUGCUUCAAAUCUAGCCUCAGAAAUAGAUGCCCAGUUGAUAAAUGGUCCCAUGAUGGAAAACAUGCUCGUCUCAUAAAAGUUGAAAGCAAUGGAAUAUACUCAAGACUUAACUUUGCACUUUAACUUAAUACUCUUCUCUUAACACACGGAGAUGUUGUGAGCAAUGGAGGCCCCAUUGCACCAGUUUGUCACAGUUGUCUCAACUUUUGAAAGCAUAAUAAUCAGUAUGACUGAAAAGGUACGAAAUUAUAGAACGUUUAAUCACAUAUGAAAAAGGCAUGGUCAAUCUCUAUGAGUUCAUUGUACUCUUGUGUACUGUUAGUAAUGAAGACUGCUGCCACUGCCACUUUUUCUUCUUUAAGUACUACUGCUGCUCUAAAGAUGCUCUUAAAGGACGUUUAUAGUAUCACACCUAAUGAUACUACUUUAUAGAAUUGGUUGAGAAGAAAAGGCUUAAUUAGUGAUGUCACUGAUCAGUAAUGUAGGAAGUGUCAUCAAGAGGGGAUGAAAGAAACCCUCUUAUAAGACAGUUGGUCACUGUAGGAGGGAUAUCAACAGGAGUUGUAAACAAAAAUACAGGCACAGCUCAGGAAAUUUCAUAAGUGUGGAUGAUUCAGUAAUAGCAAAUAUAAACAAGUAAAUAAACUUUUCAUUUUUAAUAGACUGGUAGAGCUUAGGUAUUUUCUAUCACACUUGAGGAUUCAACCCAAAUUGGAGGACUGGGGGAAGUUGCUGAGAUUGACGAAUCCAAAUUUGUAAGCAAAAGUACUACAAGGGGAGGAGGUUUUUGGGUCCUAGGCAGGAAUAAUAGAUGGACAAGACAGACUUUCUUAGUAACUAUUGAGGACUGUUCUAAAGUUAAAUUGAUCUAAUUGCAUUGACUAUAUUGUUCCGUCCUAAGUUUGGGAAAUUAAAGGAUAUUGGGGGCAAAGCUCCAUGUCUAUCCACUCGCUUCUAUUGUUCCUGAACAGUACCUCAUUCUCUCAGGAACAAAGUAGCUCAGGAGUUUUGACGUCUGGAAAAGCUGGAGGUCAUCACCCCAAUGAAGCAUUCAGAGUGGGCAGCACCUGUUGUGCCAAUAGUAAAAGCAUUUGUCUUUGCGGAGAUUACGAAGUAAUGAUUAAUCCAGUCCUGCUUCCAGACAUUUAUCCUCUUCCAAGAGUCGACAAUCUAUUAGCUGCAUGCAAGUCCUUUUCAAAGUUGGACUUAAAACACGCACACCUACAAGUUCCUAAGAGUCUAAAAAGUACACAACCACUAACGUCCAGCAAGGGCUUUUUCAGUAUGAACGCCUACUUUUUGGCAUGUCCUCAGCUCCAUCUAUGUUUCAGAGGAUAAUGGAUAACAUCCUCAAAGAUGCAUAGAUAUAAGUAUGGCACUGUUAAUUAUUCAUGGAAAUUUGUCAAUUUUGAAACAGGUAAGGACAUAGUGUUCAGUUAUGGGAUCUCCCCCAUAAUUCACAACACAAAAGCACAUGUACAGCACAAUCGAUAUUUUUACAACCAUACUUGAAGCAUUCUUCAGUCAUUCCACAAUUGGUAUUUGAAUCAGUAGAAGUUGUGUCACUUUUUGGCUAGCACGCCUUAAACAACGAAAGGAGUGCCGAGUGCUAUGAAAAUAAUCGGAAUAACAAACAGCCUCCAAUCAAUUCUAAAUGAAAACGUAAGACUAAUUUGUAAUAAGUGCCUACACAGUGAGUCGGUACAUCUCCACCGCUUGAAAAAGCUCGCUCAAAUUCAUCAACAACAACAACAUUGCAACAACACUGCUUUUGAUAUACAUGUACUUGGCCAAAAGCAACUAAUUUUGCUACAUUUGAACCCUUAUUACAAAUAAUUUUUAACUUCCACUAAACCAAUAUAGUGACCAAAUGCCAAUUAUCAAAAAACGAAACCAUUGAAAUUAAACUGAACAAAAGAAAAAAUUUCGAUUGCCUGGAAAGCAUCAUUCAGGACACAACUCAUGACAGCCAUUGUUUGAACAAAUUUACUUCAUACCUCAAGAGGAAACUGAUAAAUUUGUAUCUGACUACAGCACUCCUCAGUCUGUAGUAGCACCCAAAGUAAGGUAGAGCAAGUAGAUUAAAGUACAAGAGUAAAGACUUUGGCAGUGACAAAAAAGAUGAAAGUAUUGGAGCUCUCAUGUACCAACAUAGUUUCACUGCAGCAAAGUGAAGUGUAUUUUUAUGACUAUUGGAAUUAAAACAGGAAAAGGCUAAGCAAGAGAAUGUACCAUUAUCAUCAGGAAAAAUAGCUCAGGAUAUUAAUCUAAGUUUUAAUAAAAUUUGAAUGGAUUCCGUACAGGAGGAAAGACAGAGCUUGUGAAAGCAAAGCUGAGCUAAUAUAGGAUUUGUAAUUUUAAGGAAGUUAAUUACAUUGAUUAUAUUUUUUAGUUAUAAAAUAAUUUGUAGGAGACUCAGUCAAAGGAAAUAUUUGGCAUGAUUUGCUAACAUAUUCAGGGAUAAUGAUACCUUCUUUAUUUGGUAAACUGCAUUUUAAGAAACUGUUGUUGUACCUUCCACUUACCACUACUAGUAUCUUUCAAAACAAUUAGUCUGAUGAAGCAGGUUUUAAACCACCAAUGGUGCUUGAAAUUAUCUUACUUUGAUUUUUGUCUAUGCAUCAUAACAAGAUAGUGCACACAACACUGACUGGUGGUAAUGGGCAGUCCUGGGGUGGGGCAUAUUCUGGGUUCAAGUUAGAAACAGCAGUGGCUGUUGACAUUGCAGUGAAAAAGCAAAUUCCAAUUUUGCUGGUUGUUGUCACAUGCAGAGAGGACCUCGCAUAGUCUGCUCAAAUAACCAGGCACAAGGAAGGAAUGUUGGUCUUCUUUGAGACUCACCUCUAGCUGGAGGUGUCAGCACAGCACAUUUCUGGCUCCUUGUCACAUUGAUCAAUAUUAUUAAUUUUUUUAUAAUGUGCAUGUGAGAGAGGUUGAGCUUAUUAUUUUAUUGAAGAUGGAAUGACAGUUGUACUCAUAGUGUGCUUUGGCACAUGAAGAAACACUAGUGAUACUAAUGUAUGCAGCUUACUUGUAGAAUGAAGCUGGCAAUGGACGUAAUUGGAGGGUGCUUUUGCUUUUGAAUGAGCAAACCAUACAAGAGCUAAGAAGAUGAAUAGGCAGCUUGAGGAGCUCAACAUACACACAAGGAGGAGGAGGUGCAGCACAAACCAAAGGCACUACUGAGUGGAACAAAAAUUUGAUUGUAU
This 4738-nucleotide long non-coding RNA is filed under the name Amphimedon queenslandica. RNAcentral describes it as "uncharacterized LOC109580848, transcript variant X6". Lineage: Eukaryota; Metazoa; Porifera; Demospongiae; Haplosclerida; Niphatidae. The record is from RNAcentral.